UGAAAUGUUUCAUAAAGGUUGAACCCCAACCUUGAUAGUCCCCACCGCUCCAUCCCUAGAGCUUUGUGAGGGAAGUAAAUUGAGGAAUGUGCUCCAACAGAACAGGAAAUAAGAGCUGCCUAUACACUAGAGAUGUUUCAUAAUUUGUGCUCCUAUCAAAGUCUAUACUGACUAAAAUUGACUGAUCAAUGUUCACUCACCAAAAUUUGUUUCUACUCUUUGCUCGCAGAUAUUUACUUCAUCUCUUGUGCCAACAUUUAGUGGCACUACUGCUCCUCUCUCAGGUGCUUUUAUAAAUUGCUUUUUCUCCAUUAAACAAAGAACUUUUGCCAUUUGUUUUCCAUUUUUUCCUUCUGCUUUUCUAUAUCUUUGGGUUUGGUCUUUAGGGAAAUAAGUUAGUCAAGAAAAUUCUGAAAAUUAACUCAAUAGAUAUGGUAUUAAUGAAUUUAACAAAGGUUUAUAAUUAUUUGAAUUCUAUAUCACUUAGUUUUUGAAUGAGCAAAACUUUUAUCCACGUCCUAGGAUUUUCCUUCUUGGAUUUUCGUCAGACUUGAAAAGUUGUGAAAAAAUAUAAGACCAUUGUCGUUCACAAAGCAUGUUUCUGUGUAAAUAUGUAUCUUUGGACAGUUGGACUCAGAUAAUGCUUUCCCCAAUCUCCAAUUCACAGACUAAAGAUCAUUGCAUGAUUUGUUGUGCUUUUUCAGUAUCUACUAAGACUACAAAAUAUUUUAACAAUUUGAUCAUCUCACACUCCUAUACCCUGUCAGCAUAAAAAAGUAGGACAAGUGUGAAGUAUCAGUUACAAAUAUGUAAAAUCAACUGUAAUCUGUAUAGCUUUUCAUAUAUUUGCUUCUUCCAGAUGUGAGAUGGUGGAGAACUUAAUCUGAAAGUAAACUUCAGGGAUCUUGCCUUUUCGGCAACCGGAAAGGAUAAGCUGGAGGCUGAUGGUUAAAAAUGAUCUUUGUGAUUCUCGAAGAACGAAGGUCAAAGGGACUCAAAAGAUCCUUUUUCGACUCUCUCUUUAGACAUGUAUUCCCCAGGAGGUGUUCCUCUUCAAGAAGGAGAUUCUUGAACACAUAAUUCCUUAACCAUUGGUCCAUUUAACUCGGUCAAAAGAUGUGGGUGAAGCCAUCAGUGACUAAGAACGCGGCAGAAACACUGUGAAAAUAGCUGAAUCUGAGUCAGCUUAUUCCCUUUCUGCAUUUUUAGCCAUACAAAUUACAUGUGAAAGAGAUUCUUUUUUCCUUCUAUUUUUACCUUCAUUAAUUUAGAAUAUAGUCUCUUUCGUUGGUUCUUUAUUCCCAUUAUAUCAAGUUGAGUAUGUUUCUUGAAUUCUUCAACGUGUAAAGUGGUUUUAAUGGUUGGUAGGUAGUGCUAUAUUUUAUUUUAUUUUUGUAACCUUUCAGAUUUGGAGAGGACCUCACUUUUCCAUUAAUAUUCUA
Molecule: long non-coding RNA, 1442 nt
Filed under: Olea europaea (common olive)
Lineage: Eukaryota; Viridiplantae; Streptophyta; Magnoliopsida; Lamiales; Oleaceae
Description: long non-coding RNA (OEUR_LNC002991)
Source: RNAcentral